UACGUAGGGGGCAAGCGUUGUCCGGAUUUAUUGGGCGUAAAGAGCGUGUAGGCGGCCAUUCAGGUCAGCUGUGAAAACUCGAGGCUCAACCUCGAGACGUCGGUUGAAACCGUUUGGCUAGAGUCCGGAAGAGGAGAGUGGAAUUCCCGGUGUAGCGGCGAAAUGCGCAGAUAUCGGGAAGAACACCCGUGGCGAAGGCGGCUCUCUGGGACGGUACUGACGCUGAGACGCGAAAGCGUGGGGAGCGAACAGG
This 253-nucleotide ribosomal RNA is filed under the name uncultured bacterium. Its description in RNAcentral is "partial 16S ribosomal RNA". It matches the Rfam family "Bacterial small subunit ribosomal RNA", at positions 524 to 776 of the family's 1533-position model. The record is from RNAcentral.